CUAGAGUCUCCUGCUCCUCCAUUCCUGCUUCCUCCUCACGCUGCCCCCACAUCCUCCCCAACUCACCUUCAUGCUACAUCUCGGCAAAUACAGCUCAUAUCCAGGCACGGUGCAGCCCUUGACAGCUGGGUCCGCAAAGGCAGAUCGGAUGUUCUGCCAAUUGAAUGGAAACUGUCCAUAGUGGGGAGCAGAGAGCCUCAUCUUUUCUGGAACUGAACAUCCAUCCUUAAGGCCAGAUUUCUCCCAUCACCAACUUUAACUCCUGCCCUAGCCCUCUCUCUUCCUUUUCAAAACCCUCUCCACCCAGGAAGGGAGAUUCUGGAGCCAAGACUGUACCAGCCACACCUCCCCAGAGUUGUUAAGGAAGGAACUCGAAGCCAGGGGUGGUCUUCUGGCAAGCACCCCCACUACCAGUAGCAGGACAGAUGUGUUUCUAAUGGACUACACUAUCCCCGGAGGUCACAUGAUUCAGGCUGCCAAGGGUACCUGCCCUUGGGAAAUCAACUCCCGAAGAUAAAUUGGGAUUGGGUCCUGAGAAGAUCCAUGGAAGCCCAGAGGACCCUGCCUCUCUCUGUUGCUUCAUGCUGUAGAGGCAGUACUGGGGAGGGCCUGCCCCACAUCCGGCAGGGCAGCUGGAACCAUGUGUUUGAUGACACUCUGCUCCCUCAAUGUGGAGCCUCAUCCUCAUCUCACAGUCUAGCAGGCCUCUGGUGGGUUAGGCUUGUCUCACCCAGUGUGUGAGUUUUUUUGGAAGUGACCUGAUUUUGGAGUUUCCCUCCAAGCCUUUCUCAGGUACAUGCUUUCUCUUUUAUUCUGUCUUCUUUUUUUGAUCUUCUUAAAUCUGAUUUUCUCCUUUUUCCCUCUCUUGUCUCCAUCUUUUUUCCAGUCUCUCGCUUCUCUUUAUUUCUCCCCAUAUUUCACUCUGUUCUCUCACCCCAACCUUUCCCUUCUGUUUCUCUCCCUCCCUCUCUUCCCACCCCCUGCCUGGCCUUCCAUAUAUCAAGCAGAGUUUUAUCACCUUAUGCAGGGGCAGCCCUGCCACCUGCCAUAAAGUUGAUAGGCUAAUGACAUUUUGUGGAUAUUGCCAUGUCACAAGUCCAGGACAGCAUCAAAAAUAGCCCUGAUGUCUAAACCACUUCAGCUAUCUUUUUUAUUUUUAAAAUAAAUACAUUCACAUGCUUUUAAGAAACUAUAAAAAUAUAUAAAGUAAAAAGAUCUUUCUCUCACACUGUCUCCACCUCUCCUGGUCUCACCGUUGUGCUUAGGGGAAACCAUUGUGAUUAGUUUCUCCUGUGUCCUUCCAGAGUGUCUUUAUGCAAAUGAAAAUUAUUGUGAUAAUAUAUUCCUAUUUUCCCCCUUACUACACAAAAGAUAGACUACCAUAAUCCCAUUCUGCACUUUUUUUUCACUUGAUAAUAAAAACAUGAUUUUAUUAA
RNAcentral lists this long non-coding RNA (1436 nucleotides) under Homo sapiens (human). RNAcentral describes it as "long intergenic non-protein coding RNA 2086". Lineage: Eukaryota; Metazoa; Chordata; Mammalia; Primates; Hominidae. The record is from RNAcentral.